Molecule: long non-coding RNA, 1533 nt
Organism: Dreissena polymorpha
Lineage: Eukaryota; Metazoa; Mollusca; Bivalvia; Myida; Dreissenidae
Exons: 3
Source: RefSeq, a predicted model, not a curated record
UUAUAACCAAUUUAAUCGCUUCUUUUUUUGCAGAUGGACUGUGCAUCAUAGAUUGGCAGAUUAUUGUCUAGCUAGCCCAUACUGUUCCAAUAUGUGAAGAAGGAAACAUUUAAUCCAUUUGACACAAAGGUGGUCAAACUUUUGUGCGGGGGCUAACAUAUCGGUGUCCAGGAUCGUGUAACGACGAUGACAGGUACAUUUGCAGAAAUAUUCAAAGAUAUUAUUUUUAACAACAGUUACAUAAUACACGAAACAUAUAAACAUAAAAUUAGUAAACAAAUUUAAUAAUGUACUCAUUCGCUACUAACUUAAUAAUUGGAAUUCAAGUACGAAAUGAAAAUAUUUCAUUUAAAUGUUUCAGUGUGAUGGAUACAUUCGUGCUGUUGAAACCACCGCCUCUUUGAAUACUACGAAGGUUCUUCUGAGAUCAUGGAUAUAUGCAGAAUUUGUCAUGAAUGCAUUGAUGACAGUACCCCAACAUCCCGUCUCGGUCCAAAUGGAUGUCAAACGCUAUCGGACAUAAGCAGUAAAAGAGGACUUCAGUUGAAUGCUGCACCGGGGGACAUCGUCCAUGUUCAGUGUAGUAAAGAUUUUACACGGCCUGUCAAGGAGCAUGAUAUAUAUGUCACUAACAAUGGGUCACGUGUGUUACGCUCUGAAACUCAGGUUGAUUUUGUGCAAAUCACGCAAAAUUUUCUUUACAAACAAACAAGAAAUAUAGUGAUACAUAUCCUGUUAGAAGUUUACACUUUCAGGAAUCUAUUGUAGGUGUUUGCAAUAAAAGGAAAGAUGAGUGGUCAACAGCAAUUUUGGCUCGUCUGUCCCACGUCAUUGACCUUCCUGCAGCAGAAGCCAUAUACCACCAGUCGUGUAUUGUGAACUUCAGGACUGGAAAAGGUAUUCCAAAAAUACCGUAACGAUGACAGUGAAUCUACAUGAAGUGCAAAACGACAGAGAACUCCUGGAAGACCAGUAAACACAGGCCAUGUUGGUGCUUUUGAACAUGUGAUUAAGAUGAUAGAAUCGGGCCAAAAUAUGUCGAUUGUUGAUCUUGUAAACAAAAUGUCAGUCAUUUGUGGGGAAGAAAAUGCAUAUUCUGCAAAAUAUAUGGAAAAAAAAUACUGAACAUUUUGGUGAGAGUGUUGUUAUAAGCAAUUUAGAUGGGAAAAGCGAUAUUGUGACAUUGAGACAAACCAUUUCAAACAUUAUUCAUGAAAUCUACAAUGAAGAUGCUUCAAAUAUGUCAGAAGAAGAAAAGAAAUAUAAUUGAGUCAGCUGCUAAAAUAAUCAAAUAUGACAUAAUUAACAUCAAUUAGACAAAAGACUGUUACCCAUCUUGUCAAGAUAUUGCUUCAUUACAGAAGAACUUGGAUUAUGUACCACAAAGUUUACAAUCUUUAUUGAAAAUAGUAAUUGGUCCAGGUGAAAACAACCUAACAAAAAUGUAAGCCAUAGGUCAAAGUAUUAUGCAAGUAAGUUGCCCUAGAAGCAUUCUAGCGCCUUUUAAGAUUGGGCUUGGGUUGCAGCUGCAUC